RNAcentral lists this unclassified non-coding RNA (6228 nucleotides) under Priapulus caudatus. RNAcentral's name for it is "uncharacterized LOC106814271, transcript variant X2". The record is from RNAcentral. Lineage: Eukaryota; Metazoa; Priapulida; Priapulimorpha; Priapulimorphida; Priapulidae.
CUCUUUUUUAAUACAAAAUCAAAAGAGCUCUUGUAAAAAAAAGUAAUUUUUAGGCUGCAAUAAACUAUCAAAAACCCAUUUUGGAAGGAUGUUACAAUGGCCUGAUCAGAAUAUAAUGGCAUUCUCAAGCCACAAAAUAGUAAAGAAAUUCUAAAGGAACCAAUUUGGUUCAACAAGCAUAUCAAACUAGGCUAUAUAGAAUCCUGGCACAGAAAAGGUAUAUUUGUUAAAAAUCUCUUUAAUGAUAACGGUGAUCGCAUGCCAUUAGGUCAAUUAAAGGCAAAAUAUAAUAUAAAAGCCACCUUUAUCGAUGUAAUAGGGUUGCACAAAGCAAUUCCACAGGAUUGGUUGGAGCAAAUUACAAAUUCCAUUCUUCUCAACAUCGGUCCAUCAAUAUCACCUGCAGUCUAUUCUGUAUAUUGCAUCAAAAGGCUGUAAACAAUUUUACAACCUAUUUAAUAAAAAUCUAAAUAUAAAAAAUGUUGGUAGUCAAGAAAAAUGGUGUAAGGAAUUAAACAUCGUGCUGAAUAGUGAUGACUGGAAAUAUUUCUACAGCUUGCCUUUCCAGACUUCUACCGAUACUAAUCUUAGAUACUUUCAACUAAUACUGAUACUUCCGAAAUUUUACUUUUAGGCUUGUUACAGCCACCAAUCUAGUAAUUUCAUACCUUGCGUAUUAGGUAUUUUGAGACAACCCCUAUCACAAAACAAAGGUUUAGCAAAAAGUUUAUUGGAUCACAAAUAUUGGUAGGCUACUUCUAAACAAUACGGCGAAAUCAGAAUGGAAGUGAUAUAUAACCUAAUGCCCAAGAUAAUAACACAGUAAAAACUACAAGAAUCGUGAUUUUUGUCAUAUUUUUACAUAUGAAGCAGUCUAUUGUGUCUACAUCAAUCUUAUUCCAUUCAAACUACCAUUCACAUCUUGUAGAUAGGUACCCUGGGACACAUGCAAGAAACAGAAUGUCAAUAUCACCUUGCAUUUCCGAAGUUUAUCAUGAUAUACCCCUAUGCAUCUUAAUGCAUUAUGUUGGAUAUACUGUUUUUUUUUUAAUGGUCCCUGACGGAAAACGAAGCGAUUUAGCAAAAAUGUUUAUGUGACCUAAGUUUGACAUAUUGAAACAAGGAUCAUCAUGGUUUAAGAAUGGAAGCAGUGUCUUAAAAAAUGGUGAAGUUAUAAUGAGGAAAGACAUUUCAAAAUUAUCUUUUUGUGACCUUUGGCUAAAACAAUUUGCAACCUGAUUGUCUCUAUCUUGCUCCUGGGCCUCUAUUUAUACCCCCACCUAACUAGUUAAGGGUUAUAUAGCAAUCACCUUGUCCCGUUGCGUCCCGUCUAUGUCUAGUUCUGUAACUCGGUUAUUUUUUGGUUCGCUUUUGAUAAAACUUAGAUUUGAACACCUUUCAUGAAUAUAUAAACUAUAUGCGACAAUCAGCUGAUUCUACGCAUAUUAUUGAGUUGAGCUUGCAUCCGAUUGGUUGAAAUGGCUAGUGCUAUAACUCGGUUAUUUCUGCUCCUAUUUUGAUACAACCUGGGAUUUCAACACCUUUCAUGACCAUAUAAACCAUAUGCAACAAUCGGCUGAUUUCAUGCAUAUUAAUGAGUUCAGCUUGCAUCUGAUUGGUUGAAAUGGCUAGUGCUAUAACUCGGUUAUUUCUGCUCCCAUUUUGAUACAACCUGGGAUUUUAACACCUUUCAUGACUAUAUAAACCAUAUGCAACAAUCAGCUGAUAUCAUGCAUGUUAACGAGUUAAGCUUGCAUCUGAUCAACAUUGACCACCAUGAUAACAAGGUGAUUCGUGGGGGUAUGAAUCACGUCAGUGAUAGUUCUAGUUUCAAAUUGGAAAACACCUAUCCUCAUAAAACGCCAAAAAAAUUUCAUGCUUACCAACUUUGACUUGUUGUGAAUUUUAUUAUUUCAAAAAAUAGAUGAGGUAAAGAAGACUUUUUUAUGGACGGGCCUCCAGCUAUUAUUGUAAAAAAUAUUUUUCAAAAUACGUCAAUAAAUAAAUUUCGCAAGUCAGUUUUACUGGUUUCAUCACGUGGCUUUGUAGCUUUUAUACAAAAUAACAUUUGGUGGUCCUUGACUUGUGGCGUUGUGUAUAUGUACUACACUAAUGGUACAAGGAAAUUUACUAUACAUCAACCGAUGGUAAUGUAAUGUCAUGUUAUGAGACCUCUACAAAUUACCAUUCCUACAGUAUGUGUACAUCUGGCCAAUUUCUUUCUCUUUUGUGUUUUAGGCUGUUGAGCAAGACUCUGAAAUAGAAGUCUUGGCAAGUUGCGCCAUUUGUCAUCGCUGCACAACACAUGCGCAUCCUGUGGCUUUAUUACACCUGGUGGCUGCUGACGCCUACAAUCAUGGACUGAUUCUGCGCCAAUUUGGAGACCGUGAAGGCAUGAUGGAAGGUCAACUUGUUUGUGAAUUAUGUUCCCACUAUGUCUGUGCACGUACCAAACAACAUGCCAAAUCACCUGCCUGGAAACAUGCCUGGCCUGCAGUCAUCUGGACAUGCCUCACCAAACAGCAGUAUGCUGAUCCUUUCACGUUUAUGCAGUUUCUGGCUGAUGACCUGCGCACUUCCUGGAUGCAUGCUGUAGGUCAAUGGCUGCCAGCUAUGCGGCAAGCUCUGUGCAUUCAACCACAAUUUUCUGACACAACCAGAAAAAUGCGCACAUUUAAAGAAGACUUGGAUAGCGGCGAGCUUCGACGACUUAUGCGUGCUCCUGAUAAUGCCUGCCUCCCGGAGGUGCGCUGCCCCAUGGGUUGUUACCUGUACAUGGACGAUAGGGUUGAUUCAAAGUCUUCGAGCAGGAAGGCAGCAGUGGUGGGUUGUCAACUCUGCGCCUGUGCACACUUGCAAAAAAGUUCAACAUGACACAUGACAUUUGUUUGUCCAGUGGCCUAACACUGCAUCAUCGUCCAGACAUACUGCAGUAUGCCGUGCAAUAGCCAGUCUUUGAGGAAGGUGCUAUCGCUGCAACAUUGCAGGCCUACAAGACCCAAAAGAUGCUGGACGAAGUCAUAACUUAGUAUGCUGCAGCAGCUACCUUUAUCGAUGAAGAGGAUGCCUAUAUGGCCACUACAGCAUUUAAUUCGCAGGCCGCUGCAGCUGUUGGUCAUCUCCAAAUGCCGGCAGCAAAGACUCGCCCUCACGACUGUAUGCUCGUAGUCCAUCCGCAUAUUCCCAUUGGGCACAAAGCCUUCCCUAUGCCCAGAGGGCGAGCUACUCGAGCGAAUCCUAACUUGCCGAUGACUUGGUUGUUGUACGCCACCAUCCAGUCCUUGAUCCAUGUGCGCGUUUUGCAUACAUAUUUCCUUCAGUAUGUGUGGUCACAUGUAAAUUCUGCUGUACAGAAAGAUUUACUGAAAGUCGUCAAACAGUAUGCUGCAAAUUCGUUUAGCUUUAGUGUUAGUUUAGGAAUAUUAGUCUAGACAGGGGUGCAGAUCUGGUGUUAGACAUGUGGGUUAUGGCAGGUGUUUUGAGUAGACAAAGCGUUAGGCAGUUGUGUGUGAUUGGUCGAGGAGAAUUUUGAAAUGAGUAUGAUUGGUGGAGAGUUUGCAUAGAAAUAGAAAUUUGAAGAGAGGUCGGGAGUUGAGUUCUGGAUUCUGGGUGUUAGCGCGUACCGUUCGAGACCUGUAUUAGUUGUAAACAAUAUAUUCUUUUAGUGAACACAAAAUUUAUACUUCGUCUUUGAUUUUUUUACUCUAAAUUAUUUCAUUAAAAUCUCUUUGGUGUAACUUCAACGCUACAAUAGAUAUGAUGCUUCUAACCCUUCAGGAUGUUACAACAUUGUAGCCGAUCUGGAACACUCUCUAACUAGUUGUUUAACCGGCAGAUUACCCAUAUCACUCGUUCCACCAUCACAUUUUCAAAGUAUUUUACAUGGGAUUAAACAGGUUAUUCCGAACCCUGACUACGACUACCUCGCGAUGCCCAAACCCGUACACGAUACCAUUCUGUAUUACUAUAGCUUACUGCAGACAAUAGUUAUACCAGUUCAAAAUUCCUUUCACGUACUAACAUUUUUACUGCUUAAACAUGUUGGCCAAAUUUUUAAUAUAUUCCAAAUAUUACAAGUGCCAGAAUAUAUUAACGGCACCCAAGCUAGUGCUUAUUACGUACUUGACAAAGAGUACAUUGCAUUUGCUCAGGAUAAAACACGCAAUUUUUAUCCCGAAUCUAACCUAGUUCGUGAGUGCCUCUAUGAAACGCAUAUCUGUCAAGCAGAGUCGGAAAUUUACUAUGUGUGAGGUUCAAAAGAUUGUCUAGUGGCACUUUUUCUAAAACACACAUCUCACGUCCAAUCUUUUUGUCAACGUAGGGUCAUAUAAUCAUAAAGUAGUUUUAUUUUAUUAAUAAAUGCAUAAUAGUUUUUAUAUUUUCAGUAUUAGUCAGAACAAAUUGACGGCUAUUAUCAAGCAUUACAAAGAAAAUGGACUUGCACUCUGAUUUAAAAAGUCAGUCAAACGGCACUUCAAACCCAAGACUUCUCCGUCACGAGGAUAUUGAGCGAGUCGUUUCAUUUAUCGUGAAUUUCGCUGAGGCACAUGGACUUGUACUGUCAGGAAGGAUACCAGGAUAAACGCUUUGAUAUAAAGCUCCUUCCAUCGCAUGAGACAAAGGCAUCUGUUUGGCGAAAGUACAAAGUUGCUAUGGAAACUUUAGGCAAGUUAAAAUGUCAAAACUAACAAAUUCAAUUUAGAUCCCAUUCUCACAAUAUCCCAAACAAAGUCAUUAAAGUAGUUAAACUUAUCGCUAUCAGAUGAAGAGGUAUGCCCUAGUGAAUACCGGUAACUGUAUAGACACAGAUCUUAUAAACUGCAUAAUAGCCUAGUAUUUCUUAUUAUAUAUUUGUAGGUUUGCGUGCAGUCAAGGUACACUCGUUCAGAAAUCUGUGGCGGACCCUUACAUAGGCCAAUGACCGAUUUGUGUUGGAUCUGUCACAAAAAUAAUUCUACAGUGUAUAAUAGUGCAAAUAUGAACGAUGAGCAAAAAUCAGAGCAACUUAAGAAGCAAGAGCAUCUUUUGCAAGUCACAACUGAGCGAUCAGUCUACCAAGGACUUGGGGACUCAAAACGUGUCUUAGAGGACACAAACUGGCGGCUUGGACAGAGUGAACCCUGUUCCAAGUAUCUGUCCAUGCACUAUAGUUUUGACUUUGCCCAGCAGCUGCCUUAUCCAUCCGACCCAAUGCAACCAGUGCCAAUGUAUUUUUUGUGUCGGCGCAACUGUGGCUUGUUUGGAGUUUGUUGCGAGGCAUUUCUCCAGCAAGUGAACUACCUCAUCGAUGAGUCUGCUUGUAUCAGCAAAGGCUCAAAUGCUGUGAUAAAUUACAUCGAUAACUUUUUCUCCGAGUAUGGCUUGGGUAAGGUUUCCGUUCACUUGAAUUGUGAUAACUGUUCCGGACAGAACAAAAACAAUUACAUGCUGUGGUAUCUGUUGUGGAGAGUGAUUUGUGGAUAAAAUUUCCACAUCGAAAUGCACUUUCCCAUCACUGGCCACACAAAAUUUGCUCUGGAUUGGUGUUUCGGCUUGGUCAAGCAACGUUUCAGGCGAACACUUGUAUCUUGUCUAGAUGAUAUCGCGGAUGUAGUAAAUAUGAGUACUUUAAAAGGCAUCGAUGUAGCAGCCAAGGUUGGACUGGAAGACGGCGCGAGUGCAGCAGAGAAAUUGGCAGGAAUUCCUCGCCCCUUAUUUCAAGAAGCUGCCUGCCAUUAAAAAUUUCCAUCAUUUUAGGUAUGUACUCCAUCAAUAGUAUAGGCUAAAAUUAAUUAUUUUUAUCUGUAUUGCAGGACCUUUUUUCAGAUGAUCAUUGGUAAGGAAUUAGUUUACCUAUUAAAUAGACAUUCACAGGCAAUUCACAAGUAUAAUUUUUUAACACAAUUUAAUUCUUAUAUUUUGCAGGGUUGGAUCCGAGAGCCCAGGCACAGUUUACAUGCGCGAGUAUUCUGGUUCGAAAGAAGUUGCCUUCAAUAUCCUGAAGAAUGUGAAGAUUCUACCCCCGACUGAACGACCAGCCGAAUUACUACCUCCUGGUCUAGACGGGAAAAGGCAGACCUACCUCUACCAGAAAAUUAGAGUUUUGUACGGAUGUGACAAAAGACAUUACGUGCCCCCUCCCUGUCAACAUACUGGAAGAUAAUGACAGCAACAAUGAAGAACUGCCACUAGCUAUCUACAUAAAGCCGCCAGCAACGAAAAAAACUAGGAAAUUAACAGUGUGAACAU